GUGGGGAAUAUUGGACAAUGGGCGCAAGCCUGAUCCAGCCAUGCCGCGUGAGUGAUGAAGGCCCUAGGGUUGUAAAGCUCUUUCACCGGUGAAGAUAAUGACGGUAACCGGAGAAGAAGCCCCGGCUAACUUCGUGCCAGCAGCCGCGGUAAUACGAAGGGGGCUAGCGUUGUUCGGAAUUACUGGGCGUAAAGCGCACGUAGGCGGACAUUUAAGUCAGGGGUGAAAUCCCGGGGCUCAACCCAGGAACUGCCUUUGAUACUGGGUGGCUGGAGUAUGGAAGAGGUAAGUGGAAUUCCGAGUGUAGAGGUGAAAUUCGUAGAUAUUAGGAGGAACACCAGUGGCGAAGGCGGCUUACUGGUCCAUUACUGACGCUGAGGUGCGAAAGCGUGGGGAGCAAACAGGAUUAGAAACCCCAGUAGUCC
This 425-nucleotide ribosomal RNA is filed under the name uncultured bacterium. Its description in RNAcentral is "partial 16S ribosomal RNA". It matches the Rfam family "Bacterial small subunit ribosomal RNA", at positions 354 to 796 of the family's 1533-position model. The record is from RNAcentral.